Molecule: ribosomal RNA, 497 nt
Filed under: uncultured bacterium
Lineage: Bacteria
Description: partial 16S ribosomal RNA
Rfam family: Bacterial small subunit ribosomal RNA
Source: RNAcentral
GAUGAACGCUGGCGGCGUGCCUAAUACAUGCAAGUCGAGCGAACAGACGAGGAGCUUGCUCCUCUGACGUUAGCGGCGGACGGGUGAGUAACACGUGGAUAACCUACCUAUAAGACUGGGAUAACUUCGGGAAACCGGAGCUAAUACCGGAUAAUAUAUUGAACCGCAUGGUUCAAUAGUGAAAGACGGUUUUGCUGUCACUUAUAGAUGGAUCCGCGCCGCAUUAGCUAGUUGGUAAGGUAACGGCUUACCAAGGCAACGAUGCGUAGUCGACCUGAGAGGGUGAUCGGCCACACUGGAACUGAGACACGGUCCAGACUCCUACGGGAGGCAGCAGUAGGGAAUCUUCCGCAAUGGGCGAAAGCCUGACGGAGCAACGCCGCGUGAGUGAUGAAGGUCUUCGGAUUGUAAAACUCUGUUAUUAGGGAAGAACAAAUGUGUAAGUAACUAUGCACGUCUUGACGGUACCUAAUCAGAAAGCCACGGCUAACUACGUG